This 468-nucleotide ribosomal RNA is filed under the name uncultured Desulfobulbus sp. RNAcentral describes it as "bacterial SSU rRNA". It matches the Rfam family "Bacterial small subunit ribosomal RNA", at positions 920 to 1382 of the family's 1533-position model. The record is from RNAcentral. Lineage: Bacteria; Pseudomonadati; Thermodesulfobacteriota; Desulfobulbia; Desulfobulbales; Desulfobulbaceae.
CCCGCACAAGCGGUGGAGUAUGUGGUUUAAUUCGAUGCAACGCGAAGAACCUUACCUGGUCUUGACAUCCCGGAGACCCUUAGGAAACUAGGGGGUGCUUCCAUCUGGAAGAAUCUGGAGACAGGUGCUGCAUGGCUGUCGUCAGCUCGUGUCGUGAGAUGUUGGGUUAAGUCCCGCAACGAGCGCAACCCUUGCCUUUAGUUGCCAGCAGUUCGGCUGGGCACUCUAAAGGGACUGCCGGUGUUAAACCGGAGGAAGGUGGGGAUGACGUCAAGUCCUCAUGGCCUUUAUGACCAGGGCUACACACGUACUACAAUGGCCGAUACAAAGGGCAGCGACACUGCGAGGUGAAGCCAAUCCCGUAAAAUCGGUCUCAGUCCGGAUUGGAGUCUGCAACUCGACUCCAUGAAGUUGGAAUCGCUAGUAAUCGUGGAUCAGCAUGCCACGGUGAAUACGUUCCCGGGCCUU